AAUUUGGCCUGGGGAGAACCGCCUUCAGGCGUUUGGACUCAGUGGAGGUUGUGAGUGCCCAGCAGUGUGGCCUGAAUCUCCGUGGGGUUUAGGGAGACGAAAGGACCCCAGAUCGACGUCCCCUCGUUCCCACUUUGGGGAUCGGCGCUCUGGCUGUUUCGUGAAGGAGAGAGAGGUUGAUUCCAUACCCUGGCUAUUGUGAAUAAUGCUGCAGUGAACAUGGGAGUACAUACAUCUGUUUGAGGAACUCAGAGUGGUUUUCCAGAUGGGAAUCACAUUGCUCUCUGUCCCUGAGAUCUUGCUGGAGACAGGGCUACUCAGUCCCUCUUUGCCAGAUUGAUACUGGAAAAGCAGUUUCUAUUGAGCCCCCAAAUGAAGAGUGAGUGCAGAUGAAGAGGAGGCAGGACUCACAAGCCCUUGAACUUUAUUCCAGAUCUGUUAGCACCUACAGGACCCUGCACCAGGAUUUCAUCUGUACUAUCAGCUUCUUCAAAGAGAGAGAGGUUGUUGAAUUGAUAUUGGAAAAGCAGUUUCCCAUUGAGUCUCAAAUGAAGAGAGUGCAGAUGAAGAGGAGCUCUUCAUGUGGAUGUCUGAGCUCAUAUCAGGUGUCUGAAAGAGGCAGAUUCUGAGGAUUUGGGUCAUGAUGGCUGCCAAAGCUUCUACUCCUGACUUAAAGGGCAACAAUCCUAGGAGACCACCAGCACUUACAUCCCUGGUAGGACAUGACACCUGCUUAUGGCUCAGAAGUGACAAAAGAGAAUUAUCAGGAUGGCAGUCCUUAUAACCAGAUGCUUAUCAACAUUCUUCACUACAUUCUGAAGAUGAAUUUCUACAAGGGAAAUUGUUUAUAUUUGUUGUUGGGGAUAGAUAAGGAAAGAAGAAAAAGGCUCUGGUGAGAAACCCAUUGUACCUUCUGGAUAUGAUCACUACCCAAUUUUAUCAGUGUCAUUGAUCACUAACCCAGUGCCUCGUAUGGUGCCAGGCACAGAGUUACUCCAAGAAUGUACAAUAAUGGCUGGAUUCUCUUUCUCCCUGUGCAACUCUUCAUGCAUGUGACUGAACUUAUAUUAAGUGUCUGAAGGAGGUUCGUUCUGAGGAUCUGGGACAUGAUGGGUGCUGAAGCUUCUACUCAAGAUUUGAAGGGCAGCUGUCCUCAGGAGACCCCUGGCACUUCCCUCCAUGGUGGGAUGUGAUGCCUGAUUCCAGUGAGUUCAUAGAGCUGAACAAAAGUACGUUGUGGAAUAGCUCCUGUGAGGUUCACAACAUAGUCCGGAAGAUGAGAAACUACUUUUUUUAGUAACCUGGAUUCCCAUCUAAGAGAUGCCUUACUUUAUCGUAAAGCAAUGAGUUGUUCACUUGAGGAGGGAACUUCAUGUUUAACAUGUAUUUGCAACAAAUUUACAUACAUUUUCUGCCUGUAUGAAUAGUUGUCAGUGAUGCCCAUGAAUUUCUCAGAUGGAUGUUGAAGUAUACAGUUAGAAGGUUAGAAGAUCUUCCUAGCAAUCUGUGAUUACGGUAUGCAUUCUUCCAUGGUUUCUACGUUUUUGUCUAUUCUAUAAUGAAAUUUUCUAAGAAGCCAGAAAUUAAUUAAGUGCUACCUAAAAAUAUCAAAAUGUCAGGUACAAGAAUUUGGCAUUUUCAAAAUUAGUAAUUACAAUGUAAGUUUGCCCUAUUAUAAUGAUACCCAGCUAUGUCCAGUAACAUAACUAGAUUGUUCUGAAUACCGUUAUUAUUUCCCAAUAAUACAAACAUCACAAUUUCAGUUCUGUAGUACCUGGCCUACCUACCCUUCCCACUGCCUUGCCCCAGGUAAACACAGCAUGCCUGUCACUAUACAUUAUUUUACAUGCCUGGAAAUAUAUUUAAAUGGAAUCAUAGAGGUGGUUUCUUUUUUUUUUUUUUAUCAACACCUGGCUUUUUUCAUUCACUCCACUUAUUUUUAUAUUUAUCCAUUUUAUUGCAUUUAUCUAUUGAUAUACUUCAUUCUUUUUGAUUGCUAAAUACUAUUGCGGUAUACAACCACACUAAACAUUUUAUUAUCCAUCCAUUUGUCGAUGGACAUUUUGGUUGUUUCUCAUUUGGGGCUCUUGUAAAUAAAGCUGCUAUGAACAUUUGUG
This 2117-nucleotide long non-coding RNA is filed under the name Homo sapiens (human). Its description in RNAcentral is "non-protein coding LINC00630:2". Lineage: Eukaryota; Metazoa; Chordata; Mammalia; Primates; Hominidae. The record is from RNAcentral.